GCCGGUGUGAGUAGCGAAAGACGGGUGAGAAUCCCGUCCACCGAUUGACUAAGGUUUCCAGAGGAAGGCUCGUCCGCUCUGGGUUAGUCGGGUCCUAAGCUGAGGCCGACAGGCGUAGGCGAUGGAUAACAGGUUGAUAUUCCUGUACCACCUAUAAUCGUUUUAAUCGAUGGGGGGACGCAGUAGGAUAGGCGAAGCGUGCGAUUGGAUUGCACGUCUAAGCAGUAAGGCUGAGUAUUAGGCAAAUCCGGUACUCGUUAAGGCUGAGCUGUGAUGGGGAGAAGACAUUGUGUCUUCGAGUCGUUGAUUUCACACUGCCGAGAAAAGCCUCUAGAUAGAAAAUAGGUGCCCGUACCGCAAACCGACACAGGUAGUCAAGAUGAGAAUUCUAAGGUGAGCGAGCGAACUCUCGUUAAGGAACUCGGCAAAAUGACCCCGUAACUUCGGGAGAAGGGGUGCUCUUUAGGGUUAACGCCCAGAAGAGCCGCAGUGAAUAGGCCCAAGCGACUGUUUAUCAAAAACACAGGUCUCUGCUAAACCGUAAGGUGAUGUAUAGGGGCUGACGCCUGCCCGGUGCUGGAAGGUUAAGAGGAGUGGUUAGCUUCUGCGAAGCUACGAAUCGAAGCCCCAGUAAACGGCGGCCGUAACUAUAACGGUCCUAAGGUAGCGAAAUUCCUUGUCGGGUAAGUUCCGACCCGCACGAAAGGCGUAACGAUUUGGGCACUGUCUCAACGAGAGACUCGGUGAAAUCAUAGUACCUGUGAAGAUGCAGGUUACCCGCGACAGGACGGAAAGACCCCGUGGAGCUUUACUGUAGCCUGAUAUUGAAAUUCGGCACAGCUUGUACAGGAUAGGUAGGAGCCUUUGAAACGUGAGCGCUAGCUUACGUGGAGGCGCUGGUGGGAUACUACCCUAGCUGUGUUGGCUUUCUAACCC
RNAcentral lists this ribosomal RNA (936 nucleotides) under Staphylococcus aureus. RNAcentral describes it as "partial 23S ribosomal RNA". It matches the Rfam family "Bacterial large subunit ribosomal RNA", at positions 1296 to 2228 of the family's 2925-position model. The record is from RNAcentral. Lineage: Bacteria; Bacillati; Bacillota; Bacilli; Caryophanales; Staphylococcaceae.